This 426-nucleotide long non-coding RNA is filed under the name Rosa chinensis. RNAcentral describes it as "sRNA RchiOBHm_Chr3g0449001". The record is from RNAcentral. Lineage: Eukaryota; Viridiplantae; Streptophyta; Magnoliopsida; Rosales; Rosaceae.
GAUGGUAGUGAGAUUUGGUAUUGAAUCUAUUGAUGGCAUUGAUGAAGAGGAACUGAGGAAGCCAUGCUGGAAAUGUUUGAUUGUUUGCAGUAAUGCACUUUGAUGAAAUAUUGAUCAUUCAUGAACUUUUUCAAUUUUAGUUGGUUUGUUUCAGUUUGUUUCAAUUUUAGUUGGUUUGUUUCUGUUUGUUUCAAUUUUAGUUGGUUUGUUGCAUUUUAGUUGGUUUGUUUCAGUAUUUUAGUUUGCUGCAAAUUGAUGCAGUUUCAAUAUUUUGUGUGUUUGAUGGUUUAAUAAUGCUUUCAUCAGUUUCAUGCUUUGAGAGUUUGGGAGUUGGCUAGAAAUUUCUAAUUUGUUAUGUUGAUGUUGAUUGUUGAGUUUUAUGAGUGAUGGUAUUUGCAAUAUUGAAUCAUUUGAAUGUAUAUAUGG